Molecule: small RNA, 589 nt
Filed under: Cryptococcus neoformans H99
Lineage: Eukaryota; Fungi; Basidiomycota; Tremellomycetes; Tremellales; Cryptococcaceae
Description: Cryptococcus neoformans var. grubii H99 hypothetical RNA
Source: RNAcentral
GACUUUUAAUGCAUACAAGGGCUUGCAGUGUGCAACUCCAACAAAAAGGAUCGGAGAAGAAAAUUAAGCACUAUUAAACAGUUUGCAUAGCCAUACGAAACAUACUCUGAAGGAUAGGCAUCUUCUGAAUGAUGUAUACACUGCUAUGCGACUACACUGGCACUCUUUUAUACCCAGCCACGGUGAGCAAUGCCGACAAAGUAACCUUUGCGAUAGAUACAAUUUGUUCAAAAUCAUACCCCUCCCUAUCAGAGAUAUCCCCGGAAUUAUGGUACAUUGGGUCCACAAUGGGACCAUUGCGCUCGAAAACUUGCGUAGCUGGAAAGCCGUAGGUAACGAAGCUUUGGUGAUCGGAGCAGCAGGCUGCAGUCUUCCCAACAACAAGCUCUGGAGAAUAGAGUUGGGAAAGGUUACCAAUCAAAUAGCUUGCUUCGGGAAGGUGUAUGCUACAGGGAAAGGUAUCAGUAGGAUCCUCAUAUUACGAGAAUGAUGCGAGCAGAAUCAUCAUUUAAACAUACGUUUUUGGUAAACCCAGCUGCAGAGGUUCGCCAGGCUUAUCAUAUGUCAGCAGAUAACAUGAAUACCCAAG